UGGUUCUCCCCGAAAGCUAUUUAGGUAGCGCCUCGUGAAUUCAUCUCCGGGGGUAGAGCACUGUUUCGGCUAGGGGGCCAUCCCGGCUUACCAACCCGAUGCAAACUGCGAAUACCGGAGAAUGUUAUCACGGGAGACACACGGCGGGUGCUAACGUCCGUCGUGAAGAGGGAAACAACCCAGACCGCCAGCUAAGGUCCCAAAGUCAUGGUUAAGUGGGAAACGAUGUGGGAAGGCCCAGACAGCCAGGAUGUUGGCUUAGAAGCAGCCAUCAUUUAAAGAAAGCGUAAUAGCUCACUGGUCGAGUCGGCCUGCGCGGAAGAUGUAACGGGGCUAAACCAUGCACCGAAGCUGCGGCAGCGAACGUAUCACCCAAGACAACUUUACGGAGUUGACGAUUGACGGAGCGAAGCGACGUCAAAGCGUUCAUUAAAGUCGAGUUGGCUUAGGGAUACGUUCGUUGGGUAGGGGAGCGUUCUGUAAGCCUGUGAAGGUGUGUCGUGAGGCAUGCUGGAGGUAUCAGAAGUGCGAAUGCUGACAUAAGUAACGAUAAAGCGGGUGAAAAGCCCGCUCGCCGGAAGACCAAGGGUUCCUGUCCAACGUUAAUCGGGGCAGGGUGAGUCGACCCCUAAGGCGAGGCCGAAAGGCGUAGUCGAUGGGAAACGGGUUAAUAUUCCCGUACUUGGUGUUACUGCGAAGGGGGGACGGAGAAGGCUAUGUUGGCCGGGCGACGGUUGUCCCGGUUUAAGCGUGUAGGUGUGUGUUCCAGGUAAAUCCGGUUCACUUUAACACUGAGGCGUGACGACGAGGCACUACGGUGCUGAAGCAACAAAUGCCCUGCUUCCAGGAAAAGCCUCUAAGCAUCAGGUAACACGAAAUCGUACCCCAAACCGACACAGGUGGUCAGGUAGAGAAUACCAAGGCGCUUGAGAGAACUCGGGUGAAGGAACUAGGCAAAAUGGUGCCGUAACUUCGGGAGAAGGCACGCUGACACGUAGGUGAAGUGAUUUACUCAUGGAGCUGAAGUCAGUCGAAGAUACCAGCUGGCUGCAACUGUUUAUUAAAAACACAGCACUGUGCAAACACGAAAGUGGACGUAUACGGUGUGACGCCUGCCCGGUGCCGGAAGGUUAAUUGAUGGGGUCAGCGUAAGCGAAGCUCCUGAUCGAAGCCCCGGUAAACGGCGGCCGUAACUAUAACGGUCCUAAGGUAGCGAAAUUCCUUGUCGGGUAAGUUCCGACCUGCACGAAUGGCGUAAUGAUGGCCAGGCUGUCUCCACCCGAGACUCAGUGAAAUUGAACUCGCUGUGAAGAUGCAGUGUACCCGCGGCAAGACGGAAAGACCCCGUGAACCUUUACUAUAGCUUGACACUGAACAUUGAGCCUUGAUGUGUAGGAUAGGUGGGAGGCUUUGAAGUGUGGACGCCAGUCUGCAUGGAGCCGACCUUGAAAUACCACCCUUUAAUGUUUGAUGUUCUAACGUGGACCCGUAAUCCGGGUUGCGGACAGUGUCUGGUGGGUAGUUUGACUGGGGCGGUCUCCUCCUAAAGAGUAACGGAGGAGCACGAAGGUUGGCUAAUCCUGGUCGGACAUCAGGAGGUUAGUGCAAUGGCAUAAGCCAGCUUGACUGCGAGCGUGACGGCGCGAGCAGGUGCGAAAGCAGGUCAUAGUGAUCCGGUGGUUCUGAAUGGAAGGGCCAUCGCUCAACGGAUAAAAGGUACUCCGGGGAUAACAGGCUGAUACCGCCCAAGAGUUCAUAUCGACGGCGGUGUUUGGCACCUCGAUGUCGGCUCAUCACAUCCUGGGGCUGAAGUAGGUCCCAAGGGUAUGGCUGUUCGCCAUUUAAAGUGGUACGCGAGCUGGGUUUAGAACGUCGUGAGACAGUUCGGUCCCUAUCUGCCGUGGGCGCUGGAGAACUGAGGGGGGCUGCUCCUAGUACGAGAGGACCGGAGUGGACGCAUCACUGGUGUUCGGGUUGUCAUGCCAAUGGCACUGCCCGGUAGCUAAAUGCGGAAGAGAUAAGUGCUGAAAGCAUCUAA
Molecule: ribosomal RNA, 2038 nt
Filed under: Salmonella enterica subsp. enterica
Lineage: Bacteria; Pseudomonadati; Pseudomonadota; Gammaproteobacteria; Enterobacterales; Enterobacteriaceae
Also listed under: 1 other name
Description: partial 23S ribosomal RNA
Rfam family: Bacterial large subunit ribosomal RNA
Source: RNAcentral